RNAcentral lists this small RNA (473 nucleotides) under Vigna angularis var. angularis. RNAcentral describes it as "Non-protein coding transcript". Lineage: Eukaryota; Viridiplantae; Streptophyta; Magnoliopsida; Fabales; Fabaceae. The record is from RNAcentral.
UGGACAACUGAGGAUAGUCACAUAAUUAUACUCAACUUUCAAAAUGAUUUUCAACAUACGUUGAAUACGGAUAUUCAGACAGUGCUUCUGACGAAUGAGUGGAUUCCUGGGGAAAUACUGUUGACGAUACAUCCAAAAAGUGAUUUAGGUAAGUCGGGAGAAAUCAGAAGGACAGGAGUUUAUGUAAAUCGAACACUUAGUAGAAUGGAGGAUGUUCGAUUCGAAGAUCCUUAUGAUCUCAAUAAAGCAAGCACUAUGGAAAAUAAACUUGUGUUGCUUGGUGAGGCAUCUGAUACACAACAACAAGCACAAUCCUCUGCUUUAUUCAACCUCACAACCUCACUAGAAUCUGUUAUUGGUGAACAACCUUUGAAUUAUGAGUACAACAAUUCAGAUUCAAAAGAAUCGGCAUCCACUGUUGACUCCAAUAACCAAGGAGUACUUGUAGAUGAUCAACCAAUAUUAGCUCCAAG